CUGCCCCGCCCCACCCCGCCCCGCCCCGCCGCGGCGCCGGCUCUGCGCGGAGACGCGCCCGCGGAGGCUCAGCCCCACCCCGCGCCCGGCCUGCCCGACCCCGGCGCGUCCCGAUGUGCUGCGCUUCGCGGGGCGCAACGCGGCGCGAUGUGCGCAGGCUCCUUUAUAGUAGUGAGAUGCUGCAAUAAGGUCUUCUCAGAGCCUUCUCUUCUCCAAAUUUUCUUCCUUUGCAGUGCUUCUGACCAUGGAGAGCUGCAAUGAAAAUAUGCUAAUCAGAAUGCAUAGAGGAAGAACAGAAAGAAAAUAUGGGGGUGUACAAGAGGGGAUGGGUUUGCUCUCCCACUUAAGAGCUACCCUGGCCUUCCCCGCCUGGGAGGCAGCGGAGGACCAGCACAGCUUGCGGCGAUGGAGGCAAGUGCAACCGUGGUGCCAGAACAGCACCGAC
This is a long non-coding RNA of Columba livia (rock pigeon), 445 nucleotides long. RefSeq lists it as uncharacterized. NCBI's taxonomy places the organism in Eukaryota, Metazoa, Chordata, Aves, Columbiformes, Columbidae. The record is from RefSeq and is a predicted model, not a curated record. The transcript is spliced from 4 exons.